Molecule: transfer RNA, 66 nt
Filed under: Ignavibacteria bacterium
Lineage: Bacteria; Pseudomonadati; Ignavibacteriota; Ignavibacteria
Also listed under: 1 other name
Description: tRNA-Ile
Rfam family: tRNA
About the family: Transfer RNA (tRNA) molecules are approximately 80 nucleotides in length. Their secondary structure includes four short double-helical elements and three loops (D, anti-codon, and T loops).
Source: RNAcentral
GGAUAGCUCAGUUGGUAGAGCAAUAGACUUAUAAUCUAUGUGUCGCGGGUUCGAUUCCCGUUCCAA